AAUAUUUGGUGGUGAUAUCAUAUACACGAAAUUGUGAGGGGAUACUCUAAGUAACUAUCAUAAUGAUGGAAACAAAUAAUAUUUCCAAUUGAUUGAUAAAUCUACCACUUUCAUAAAAGAGCUUAUUAUUUUGUUUCUUCUAUUCGAAAAUGAAAUAUUCCAAAUGUUUUUGAAAAUUUUCCUUUCGAUCACGAGAGAGUUUGAUUGUGUGUGAUGUGGAUGACCGAUAAGGAUCAACACUUUGCUUUGAGAGGCCGUGAUCUUUCCUUCCGGAUGUCCCUGACCUAUCCACGUGGUUAGCUGGCUUUGGUCAACGUCACUAGGGAGUCUGAAACUUCUUGCUCAAAAGGGAAUGUCAGAUCCAAUUUCACAGCCAAAAAAAGCGGAGGCGGAGAUUGGGAUCAUCCUGUGGUUACCGGAUGAUGGGAAUAACAAAGCAGAAAUUUUGAAAUGAGCACGAAAUGUCUAUAAAUGAAUUCUUUCAUUAUUCGUUAUUUCUGGGUUUUUCCGAACAAAGAGAGGCAUCAG
RNAcentral lists this long non-coding RNA (528 nucleotides) under Phoenix dactylifera (date palm). RNAcentral's name for it is "long non-coding RNA (PDAC_LNC006312)". The record is from RNAcentral. Lineage: Eukaryota; Viridiplantae; Streptophyta; Magnoliopsida; Arecales; Arecaceae.